GUAUAAGCAAUUAUACCGUGAAACUGCGAAUGGCUCAUUAAAUCAGUUAUCGUUUAUUUGAUAAUACCUUACUACUUGGAUAACCGUGGUAAUUCUAGAGCUAAUACAUGCUGAAAAUCCCGACUUCGGAAGGGAUGUGUUUAUUAGAUAAAAAACCAAUGCCCUUCGGGGCUUUUUGGUGAUUCAUGAUAACUUUACGGAUCGCAUAGCCUUGCGCUGGCGACGGUUCAUUCAAAUUUCUGCCCUAUCAACUUUCGAUGGUAAGGUAUUGGCUUACCAUGGUUUCAACGGGUAACGGGGAAUUAGGGUUCGAUUCCGGAGAGGGAGCCUGAGAAACGGCUACCACAUCCAAGGAAGGCAGCAGGCGCGCAAAUUACCCAAUCCCGACACGGGGAGGUAGUGACAAUAAAUACUGAUACAGGGCUCUUUUGGGUCUUGUAAUUGGAAUGAGUACAAUUUAAACCUCUUAACGAGGAACAAUUGGAGGGCAAGUCUGGUGCCAGCAGCCGCGGUAAUUCCAGCUCCAAUAGCGUAUAUUAAAGUUGUUGCAGUUAAAAAGCUCGUAGUUGAAACUUGGGCCUGGCUGGCGGGUCCGCCUCACCGCGUGCACUCGUCCGGCCGGGCCUUCCUUCUGAAGAACCUCAUGCCCUUCACUGGGCGUGCUGGGGAAUCAGGACUUUUACUUUGAAAAAAUUAGAGUGUUCAAAGCAGGCCUUUGCUCGAAUACGUUAGCAUGGAAUAAUAAAAUAGGGCGUGCGUUUCUAUUUUGUUGGUUUCUAGAGACGCCGCAAUGAUUAACAGGAACAGUCGGGGGCAUCAGUAUUCAGUUGUCAGAGGUGAAAUUCUUGGAUUUACUGAAGACUAACUACUGCGAAAGCAUUUGCCAAGGAUGUUUUCAUUAAUCAGUGAACGAAAGUUAGGGGAUCGAAGACGAUCAGAUACCGUCGUAGUCUUAACCGUAAACUAUGCCGACUAGGGAUCGGGCGAUGUUCUUUUUCUGACUCGCUCGGCACCUUACGAGAAAUCAAAG
Molecule: ribosomal RNA, 1030 nt
Filed under: Alternaria alternata
Lineage: Eukaryota; Fungi; Ascomycota; Dothideomycetes; Pleosporales; Pleosporaceae
Description: SSU rRNA
Rfam family: Eukaryotic small subunit ribosomal RNA
Source: RNAcentral